Molecule: transfer RNA, 72 nt
Filed under: Acidobacteriota bacterium
Lineage: Bacteria; Pseudomonadati; Acidobacteriota
Description: Acidobacteria bacterium (soil metagenome) tRNA-Val
Rfam family: tRNA
About the family: Transfer RNA (tRNA) molecules are approximately 80 nucleotides in length. Their secondary structure includes four short double-helical elements and three loops (D, anti-codon, and T loops).
Source: RNAcentral
GCCCGCUUAGCUCAGUGGUAGAGCGCUCGCUUCACACGCGAUAGGUCAGCAGUUCAAGUCUGUUAGCGGGCA